Molecule: small RNA, 281 nt
Filed under: Thiorhodovibrio frisius
Lineage: Bacteria; Pseudomonadati; Pseudomonadota; Gammaproteobacteria; Chromatiales; Chromatiaceae
Description: Thiorhodovibrio sp. 970 5' ureB small RNA
Rfam family: 5' ureB small RNA
Source: Rfam by way of RNAcentral
CGACCUCUGCCUGCGCCGGGCUGAUGAAAUGGGUCAUGGCAUCCACGCCACCUGCGGUCAGGAUGUGCCCUUCGCCGGCGAUGAUGUCAGUUCCCGGGCCGAUAAUGACAUCGGCACCAGUUUGGAUAUUGGGAUUACCGGCCUUGCCAAUGGCCGCGAUACGCCCGUCCUUCAGGCCAAUAUCGGCCUUGAUCACGCCCCAGAAGUCGAUCACCAAGGCAUUGGUGAUGACGGUGUCCAUGACCAAGUCCGCCUGACGCUGGCACUGGCCCAUGCCAUCG